CCUGAUAGGGAAUAGCACCAAGCCCUGUGUCACCUAAAAGAUGGCUCCCCCCUAUGGGAGCAUACCUCCUCUGUGUCACCCUAUAGGACACCCCUGUGUCACCCUAAAGAUGGGGUCACCCUAUGGGACACCUCUGUGUCACCCUAUGGGACACCUCUGUCACCCUAAAGAUGGAGUCACCCUAUAUCCCCUGUGUCACCCUAUGGGACACCCCAGGUCACCCUAAAGCUGGGGUCACCCUAUGGGACACCUCUGUGUCACCCUAUGGGACACCCCUGUGUCACCCUAAAGAUGGGGUCACCCUAUGGGACACCUCUGUGUCACCCUAUGGGACACCCCAGGUCACCCUAAAGAUGGGGUCACCCUAUGGGACACCCCUGUGUCACCCUAAAGAUGGGGUCACCCUAUGGGACACCCCUGUGUCACCCUAUGGGACACCCCUGUGUCACCCUAAAGAUGGGGUCACCCUAAAUCCCCUCUAUGUCACCCUAUGGGACACCCCUGUGUCACCCUAUGGGACACCCCUGUGUCACCCUAAAGAUGGGUCACCCUAAAUCCCCAGUGUCACCCUAUGGGACACCCCUGGUCACCCUAAAGAUGGGGUCACCCUAAGAUCCCCUCUGUGUCACCCCAAAGGCCUCCAUGUUGUCACCCCAAAGGACCCCACUGUAUCAUCCCGACCCUUUAGUCACCCCAAUGGACUCCUAAGUCACCCCAAGAUCCCCUUUAUGUCACCCCAAAGCCUCCAUUGUGUCACCCUGAGGCCUCCAUUGUGUCACCCCAAGGUCCCCUCUGUGUCACCCCAAGGCUUCACUUGUGUCACCCCAUAGGCCUCCAUGUUGUCACCCCAAUGUCUCCUGUGUGUCACCCCAUAGGCCUCCAUGUUGUCACCCCAAUGUCUCCUGUGUGUCCAACCCCAUAGGCCUCCAUGUUGUCACCCCAAUGUCUCUGUGUCACCAUGGGCCUCCAUGUUGUCACCGCCAAUGGUCUCACUCUGUGUCACCCCCCAGGGCCCUCCAAUGUUGUCACCCCGAGCUUUAAGUCCCCCCUUUGCACUCCAAUGUCCCCCCAAAUGUCCCUUCUAUUAGUCACCCAUGGCCUCCAUGUUGUUCACCCGAACCCAACCUUUGUCAACCCAAUGCC
This 1143-nucleotide long non-coding RNA is filed under the name Coturnix japonica (Japanese quail). RNAcentral's name for it is "lncRNA (ENSCJPG00005003510.1)". The record is from RNAcentral. Lineage: Eukaryota; Metazoa; Chordata; Aves; Galliformes; Phasianidae.